RNAcentral lists this ribosomal RNA (406 nucleotides) under uncultured bacterium. Its description in RNAcentral is "partial 16S ribosomal RNA". It matches the Rfam family "Bacterial small subunit ribosomal RNA", at positions 360 to 774 of the family's 1533-position model. The record is from RNAcentral.
AAUAUUGUGCAAUGGAGGGAACUCUGACGCAGCGACGCCGCGUGAGCGAUGAAGGUCUACGGAUCGAAAAGCUCUGUCCUUGGGGAAGAAGGUCUUCGGACUUGACGGUACAUAAGGAGGAAGCCCCGGCUAACUUCGUGCCAGCAGCCGCGGUAAUACGUAGGGGGUAAGCGUUGUCCGGAAUUAUUGGGCGUAAGGGUGCGUAGGGGGCCUUUUAAAUCAGAUGUGAAAGCCCACGGAUUAAACGUGGAACUGCAUUUGAAACUGGAGGGCUUGAGUAUCGGAGAGGGUAGUGGAAUUCCCAGUGUAGCGGUGGAAUGCGUAGAUAUUGGGAGGAACACCAGUGGCGAAGGCGACUACCUGGACGAAAACUGACGCUGAGGCACGAAAGCUAGGGGAGCAAACA